RNAcentral lists this ribosomal RNA (2114 nucleotides) under metagenome. RNAcentral describes it as "bacterial LSU rRNA". It matches the Rfam family "Bacterial large subunit ribosomal RNA", at positions 828 to 2925 of the family's 2925-position model. RNAcentral also lists the same sequence under 1 other name. The record is from RNAcentral.
UCCAAUCGAACGCGGAGAUAGCUGGUUCUCCCCGAAAUAGCUUUAGGGCUAGCCUGAGGUAGUAAGUAUAGGCGGUAGAGCACUGAUCGGGCUAGGGGCCGUAAAGGUUACCGAACCCUGUCAAACUCCGAAUGGAUAUACUGUAGAGCCUUGGAGUCAGACUACGAGUGAUAAGAUCCGUGGUCAAAAGGGAAACAGCCCAGACCACCAGCUAAGGUCCCCAAUGUCGUACUAAGUGGAAAAGGAUGUGGGGUUUCAUAAACAACCAGGAUGUUGGCUCAGAAGCAGCCACCAUUUAAAGAGUGCGUAAUAGCUCACUGGUCGAGAGACCCUGCGCCGAAGAUUCCCGGGGCUAAAGUACGAAACCGAAGCUGUGGCUGUAUACGUAAAGUAUACGGGGUAGGGGAGCGUUCCCAUAGGGUAGAAGUCGAACUGGAAGGUUCGGUGGACUUGUGGGAAGUGAGAAUGUUGGUAUGAGUAGCGAAAAGAAAGGUGAGAAUCCUUUCCACCGAAAGCAUAAGGAUUCCUGAGCAACGAUCGUCGUCUCAGGGUAAGUCGGGACCUAAUCCGAGGCAGAGAGCGUAGGAGAUGGACAACUGGUUGAUAUUCCAGUACCGGUAGUAAUUGUUUGAGCAAUGGAGUGACACAGAAGGGCAGGCAAGCAUGCGAAUGGAAGAGCAUGUGUAAGCGUGUAGGGUGGUGCAUAGGCAAAUCCGUGCACUGAAAGCCUGAGGCGUGAUGCGGAGUGAGCAGAGAUGCGAGCGAAGUUGUUGACCCCACACUGUCGAGAAAAGCUUCUAGUGAGAGAGCUACCGCCCGUACCGUAAACCGACACAGGUAUGCGGGGAGAGAAUCCUAAGGUGCGCGGGAGAACCCUCGUUAAGGAACUCGGCAAAAUGUACCCGUAACUUCGGGAUAAGGGUAGCCACUGUUGUGAAGUCCCAUGCGGAUGGAGCAUAGAGUGGUCGCAGAGAAGAGGCCCAAGCGACUGUUUACCAUAAACACAGGUGCCUGCUAAAGCGAAAGCUGACGUAUAGGUGCUGACACCUGCCCAGUGCCGGAAGGUUAAGGAAGGAUGUUCGGAUUAGUCCAAAGCAUUCGACUGAAGCCCCGGUGAACGGCGGCCGUAACUAUAACGGUCCUAAGGUAGCGAAAUUCCUUGUCGGGUAAGUUCCGACCCGCACGAAAGGUGUAACGAUUUGGGCACUGUCUCAACGAGGGACCCGGUGAAAUUGAAAUACCUGUGAAGAUGCAGGUUACCCGCGACUGGACAGAAAGACCCCAUGGAGCUUUACUGUAACCUGACAUUGGGUUUUGAUACAUUACGUACAGGAUAGGUGGGAGGCUUGGAAAGUUGGACGCUAGUCUGACUGGAGCCGACGUUGGGAUACCACCCUUGAUGUAUUGAAAUUCUAACCGCGAGAGUAACGAAAUCCGGGACAGUGUCAGGCGGGCAGUUUGACUGGGGCGGUCGCCUCCGAAAGAGUAACGGAGGCGCCCAAAGGUUCCCUCAGCGCGGCCGGAAAUCGCGCGAAGAGUGUAAAGGCAGAAGGGAGCUUGACUGCGAGUCAAACACGACGAGCAGGUACGAAAGUAGGGCUUAGUGAUCCGGUGGUACCGAGUGGAAGGGCCAUCGCUCAACGGAUAAAAGCUACCCUGGGGAUAACAGGCUAAUCUCUCCCAAGAGUCCAUAUCGACGGGGAGGUUUGGCACCUCGAUGUCGGCUCAUCACAUCCUGGGGCUGAAGUCGGUCCCAAGGGUUGGGCUGUUCGCCCAUUAAAGUGGUACGUGAGCUGGGUUCAGAACGUCGUGAGACAGUUCGGUCCCUAUCCAUCGCGGGCGCAAGAGAUUUGAAGGGGGCUGCUCCUAGUACGAGAGGACCGGAGUGGACGAACCGCUGGUGUACCAAUUAUCCCGCCAGGGGUACAGUUGGGUAGCUACGUUCGGAAAGGAUAAACGCUGAAAGCAUCUAAGCGUGAAACCAGCCUUAAGAUGAGAUCUCUCAUAGAGCAAUCUAGUAAGACACCUUAAAGAAGAUGAGGUUGAUAGGUCGGGAGUGUAAGUACAGCAAUGUAUUGAGCGGACCGAUACUAAUAUGUCGAGGGCUUGACUUA